CACGUGAGCAACCUGCCCUGGACUCUGGGAUAAGCGCUGGAAACGGUGUCUAAUACUGGAUAUGAGCUCUCAUCGCAUGGUGGGGGUUGGAAAGAUUUUUUGGUCUGGGAUGGGCUCGCGGCCUAUCAGCUUGUUGGUGAGGUAAUGGCUUACCAAGGCGUCGACGGGUAGCCGGCCUGAGAGGGUGACCGGCCACACUGGGACUGAGACACGGCCCAGACUCCUACGGGAGGCAGCAGUGGGGAAUAUUGCACAAUGGGCGGAAGCCUGAUGCAGCAACGCCGCGUGAGGGAUGACGGCCUUCGGGUUGUAAACCUCUUUUAGCAGGGAAGAAGCGUGAGUGACGGUACCUGCAGAAAAAGCGCCGGCUAACUACGUGCCAGCAGCCGCGGUAAUACGUAGGGCGCAAGCGUUAUCCGGAAUUAUUGGGCGUAAAGAGCUCGUAGGCGGUUUGUCGCGUCUGCUGUGAAAUCCCGAGGCUCAACCUCGGGUCUGCAGUGGGUACGGGCAGACUAGAGUGCGGUAGGGGAGAUUGGAAUUCCUGGUGUAGCGGUGGAAUGCGCAGAUAUCAGGAGGAACACCGAUGGCGAAGGCAGAUCUCUGGGCCGUAACUGACGCUGAGGAGCGAAAGGGUGGGGAGCAAACAGGCUUAGAUACCCUGGUAGUCCACCCCGUAAACGUUGGGAACUAGUUGUGGGGACCAUUCCACGGUUUCCGUGACGCAGCUAACGCAUUAAGUUCCCCGCCUGGGGAGUACGGCCGCAAGGCUAAAACUCAAAGGAAUUGACGGGGACCCGCACAAGCGGCGGAGCAUGCGGAUUAAUUCGAUGCAACGCGAAGAACCUUACCAAGGCUUGACAUACACCAGAACACCGUAGAAAUACGGGACUCUUUGGACACUGGUGAACAGGUGGUGCAUGGUUGUCGUCAGCUCGUGUCGUGAGAUGUUGGGUUAAGUCCCGCAACGAGCGCAACCCUCGUUCUAUGUUGCCAGCACGUUAUGGUGGGAACUCAUGGGAUACUGCCGGGGUCAACUCGGAGGAAGGUGGGGAUGACGUCAAAUCAUCAUGCCCCUUAUGUCUUGGGCUUCACGCAUGCUACAAUGGCCGGUACAAAGGGCUGCAAUACCGUGAGGUGGAGCGAAUCCCAAAAAGCCGGUCCCAGUUCGGAUUGAGGUCUGCAACUCGACCUCAUGAAGUCGGAGUCGCUAGUAAUCGCAGAUCAGCAACGCUGCGGUGAAUACGUUCCCGGGUCUUGUACACACCG
RNAcentral lists this ribosomal RNA (1266 nucleotides) under Microbacterium proteolyticum. RNAcentral describes it as "bacterial SSU rRNA". It matches the Rfam family "Bacterial small subunit ribosomal RNA", at positions 114 to 1392 of the family's 1533-position model. Lineage: Bacteria; Bacillati; Actinomycetota; Actinomycetes; Micrococcales; Microbacteriaceae. The record is from RNAcentral.